This 433-nucleotide ribosomal RNA is filed under the name uncultured bacterium. RNAcentral's name for it is "partial 16S ribosomal RNA". It matches the Rfam family "Bacterial small subunit ribosomal RNA", at positions 29 to 507 of the family's 1533-position model. The record is from RNAcentral.
AACGAACGCUGGCGGCAUGCCUAACACAUGCAAGUCGAACGAGACCUUCGGGUUUAGUGGCGUACGGGUGCGUCACGCGUGGGAAUCUGCCCUUAGGUUCGGAAUAACUCCCCGAAAGGGGUGCUAAUACCGGAUAAUGUCUUCGGACCAAAGAUUUCUCGCCUUUGGAUGGGCCCGCGUUGGAUUAGCUAGUUGGUAGGGUAAAAGCCUACCAAGGCGACGAUCCAUAGCUGGUCUGAGAGGAUGAUCAGCCACACUGGGACUGAGACACGGCCCAGACUCCUACGGGAGGCAGCAGUGGGGAAUAUUGGACAAUGGGCGAAAGCCUGAUCCAGCAAUGCCGCGUGAGUGAUGAAGGCCUUAGGGUUGUAAAGCUCUUUUACCCGGGAUGAUAAUGACAGUACCGGGAGAAUAAGCACCGGCUAACUCCGUG